UGGCCAGUGAUGAAAUAACUAAAAACAAAUGUUGGAAUUACCGUCUGAUAUUUACAUUGAUGUUAUACUCUUUCUGAGGCUGCUU
RNAcentral lists this small nucleolar RNA (85 nucleotides) under Beta vulgaris subsp. vulgaris (sugar beet). Lineage: Eukaryota; Viridiplantae; Streptophyta; Magnoliopsida; Caryophyllales; Amaranthaceae. The record is from RNAcentral.